GAUGAACGCUGGCGGCGUGCCUAAUACAUGCAAGUCGAGCGAACAGACGAGGAGCUUGCUCCUCUGACGUUAGCGGCGGACGGGUGAGUAACACGUGGAUAACCUACCUAUAAGACUGGGAUAACUUCGGGAAACCGGAGCUAAUACCGGAUAAUAUAUUGAACCGCAUGGUUCAAUAGUGAAAGACGGUUUUGCUGUCACUUAUAGAUGGAUCCGCGCCGCAUUAGCUAGUUGGUAAGGUAACGGCUUACCAAGGCGACGAUGCGUAGCCGACCUGAGAGGGUGAUCGGCCACACUGGAACUGAGACACGGUCCAGACUCCUACGGGAGGAAGCAGUAGGGAAUCUUACGCAAUGGGCGAAAGCCUGACGGAGCAACGCCGCGUGAGUGAUGAAGGUCUUCGGAUCGUAAAACUCUGUUAUUAGGGAAGAACAAAUGUGUAAGUAACUAUGCACGUCUUGACGGUACCUAAUCAGAAAGCCACGGCUAACUACGUG
RNAcentral lists this ribosomal RNA (497 nucleotides) under uncultured bacterium. RNAcentral describes it as "partial 16S ribosomal RNA". It matches the Rfam family "Bacterial small subunit ribosomal RNA", at positions 28 to 507 of the family's 1533-position model. The record is from RNAcentral.